AGUGAACGCUGGCGGCGUGCUUAACACAUGCAAGUCGAACGAGAACGGAUUAUAGCUUGCUAUAAUUGUCAGCUAAGUGGCGCACGGGAGAGUAAUGUAUAGGUAAUAUGCCUCUUACUACGGGAUAACAAAUGGAAACGUUUGCUAAUACCUUAUACUCCUUAUUAACAGAAGUUAAUAAGGGAAAGAUUUAUUGGUAAGGGAUUAGCCUGUAUUGUAUCAGUUAGUUGGUGGGGUAAUGGCUUACCAAGACUAUGACACAUAACUGGUUUGAGAGGAUGAUCAGGCACACUGGAUGUGGGAGACGGUCGAGACUCCUAGGGGAGGGAGGAGUGGGGAAUAAUGCCCAACGGACGGAGGUAUGAUGCAGCAACGCCGCGUAGAGGAUGACACAUUUCGGUGCGUAAACUCCUUUUAUAUGAGAAGAUAAUGACGGUAUUAUAUGAAUAAGCACCGGCUAACUCCGUGCCAGCCGCCGCGGUAA
RNAcentral lists this ribosomal RNA (484 nucleotides) under uncultured bacterium. RNAcentral describes it as "partial 16S ribosomal RNA". It matches the Rfam family "Bacterial small subunit ribosomal RNA", at positions 29 to 523 of the family's 1533-position model. The record is from RNAcentral.